This 510-nucleotide ribosomal RNA is filed under the name Demodex sp. A CB-2023a. Its description in RNAcentral is "partial small subunit ribosomal RNA". The record is from RNAcentral. Lineage: Eukaryota; Metazoa; Arthropoda; Arachnida; Trombidiformes; Demodicidae.
UGCCAGCAGUUUCGGUUAAACGAUUAAUGUUAUAAAUAAUUUUUUUAUAGUCUUUUUCAGUUUAUUUAAAUGGGGGUGAAAUCUUUUUUUUUAUUAUUUUAGGAUUGUAUAUAAGAGUUGAUGAGGGAAUAAGGAUUAGAUACCCUUUUACUAAUUUUUUGUUAAGUAGUAGUUAUAAUAGGUGAAACUUAAUAAAGAUGGCGGUUUAAAGGUUUUAUAGAGGGGCUUGAUGAGUAAUAGAUGAUCCUCUUUAAAUUUUUACUUUUUCUUUUAUCUUUUUUAUUUUUGUAAUAUUUAAUUUUUGAGAUUUUUUGUGGGUUAAUUUUAUUUUAUAUUGCAAAUCAAAAUGUAGUUUAUGAAUUAGAUUGAUUUAGCCACUUUAUUUUGUUAGUUUAUUUUUUAGUAUUUAUUAGUAAAUUAAUAUUUAAUUAUUUUUUUUGAAUUUUUAACUUUUGAUGCACAUAUCGCCCGUCGCUUUUAUGAAGAUAAAAUAAGUCGUAACAAAGUAGA